GAAGAACGCAGCGAAAUGCGAUACCUAGUGUGAAUUGCAGAAUUCCGCGAAUCAUCGAGUUUUUGAACGCAAGUUGCGCCCGAGGCUUGUCCAAGGGCAUUUCCGCUAGAGCGUCACC
This 118-nucleotide ribosomal RNA is filed under the name Plagiomnium japonicum. RNAcentral's name for it is "partial 5.8S ribosomal RNA". It matches the Rfam family "5.8S ribosomal RNA", at positions 38 to 154 of the family's 154-position model. Rfam says of the family: 5.8S ribosomal RNA (5.8S rRNA) is a component of the large subunit of the eukaryotic ribosome. The record is from RNAcentral. Lineage: Eukaryota; Viridiplantae; Streptophyta; Bryopsida; Bryales; Mniaceae.